RNAcentral lists this ribosomal RNA (711 nucleotides) under Bacillus pumilus. RNAcentral's name for it is "bacterial SSU rRNA". It matches the Rfam family "Bacterial small subunit ribosomal RNA", at positions 52 to 748 of the family's 1533-position model. The record is from RNAcentral. Lineage: Bacteria; Bacillati; Bacillota; Bacilli; Caryophanales; Bacillaceae.
UAUCUGCAGUCGAGCGGACGAAGGGAGCUUGCUCCCGGAUGUUAGCGGCGGACGGGUGAGUAACACGUGGGUAACCUGCCUGUAAGACUGGGAUAACUCCGGGAAACCGGAGCUAAUACCGGAUAGUUCCUUGAACCGCAUGGUUCAAGGAUGAAAGACGGUUUCGGCUGUCACUUACAGAUGGACCCGCGGCGCAUUAGCUAGUUGGUGAGGUAACGGCUCACCAAGGCGACGAUGCGUAGCCGACCUGAGAGGGUGAUCGGCCACACUGGGACUGAGACACGGCCCAGACUCCUACGGGAGGCAGCAGUAGGGAAUCUUCCGCAAUGGACGAAAGUCUGACGGAGCAACGCCGCGUGAGUGAUGAAGGUUUUCGGAUCGUAAAGCUCUGUUGUUAGGGAAGAACAAGUGCAAGAGUAACUGCUUGCACCUUGACGGUACCUAACCAGAAAGCCACGGCUAACUACGUGCCAGCAGCCGCGGUAAUACGUAGGUGGCAAGCGUUGUCCGGAAUUAUUGGGCGUAAAGGGCUCGCAGGCGGUUUCUUAAGUCUGAUGUGAAAGCCCCCGGCUCAACCGGGGAGGGUCAUUGGAAACUGGGAAACUUGAGUGCAGAAGAGGAGAGUGGAAUUCCACGUGUAGCGGUGAAAUGCGUAGAGAUGUGGAGGAACACCAGUGGCGAAGGCGACUCUCUGGUCUGUAACUGACGCUG